RNAcentral lists this ribosomal RNA (427 nucleotides) under uncultured bacterium. RNAcentral's name for it is "bacterial SSU rRNA". It matches the Rfam family "Bacterial small subunit ribosomal RNA", at positions 355 to 774 of the family's 1533-position model. The record is from RNAcentral.
UGGGGAAUUUUGGACAAUGGGCGCAAGCCUGAUCCAGCAAUGCCGCGUGCAGGAUGAAGGCCUUCGGGUUGUAAACUGCUUUUGUACGGAACGAAAAGCUUCUGGUUAAUACCUGGGAGUCAUGACGGUACCGUAAGAAUAAGCACCGGCUAACUACGUGCCAGCAGCCGCGGUAAUACGUAGGGUGCGAGCGUUAAUCGGAAUUACUGGGCGUAAAGCGUGCGCAGGCGGUUAUAUAAGACAGAUGUGAAAUCCCCGGGCUCAACCUGGGAACUGCAUUAGUGACUGUAUAGCUGGAGUGCGGCAGAGGGGGAUGGAAUUCCGCGUGUAGCAGUGAAAUGCGUAGAUAUGCGGAGGAACACCGAUGGCGAAGGCAAUCCCCUGGGCCUGCACCGACUCUCAUGCACGAAAGCGGGGGGAGCAAACA